RNAcentral lists this ribosomal RNA (417 nucleotides) under uncultured bacterium. Its description in RNAcentral is "bacterial SSU rRNA". It matches the Rfam family "Bacterial small subunit ribosomal RNA", at positions 28 to 434 of the family's 1533-position model. The record is from RNAcentral.
GACGAACGCUGGCGGCGUGCCUAAUACAUGCAAGUCGAGCGAACCAAUAAGAAGCUUGCUUUUUGUUGGUUAGCGGCGGACGGGUGAGUAACACGUGGGUAACCUGCCUGUAAGACCGGGAUAACUCCGGGAAACCGGUGCUAAUACCGGAUAGAUUAUCUUUCCGCCUGGAGAGAUAAGGAAAGAUGGCUAUUGCCAUCACUUACAGAUGGGCCCGCGGCGCAUUAGCUAGUUGGUGAGGUAACGGCUCACCAAGGCGACGAUGCGUAGCCGACCUGAGAGGGUGAUCGGCCACACUGGGACUGAGACACGGCCCAGACUCCUACGGGAGGCAGCAGUAGGGAAUCUUCGCAAUGGACGAAAGUCUGACGGAGCAACGCCGCGUGAGCGAAGAAGGUCUUCGGAUCGUAAAGCUCU